GUGUUUUAAGUUGUUGUUAGUUGUCUCUUGCACCGAUUGUACUUUGUCUUAAAUUAGUUUGUUUCGACUGUUAAAAGUAUUGUAAAUGUAAAGUUAAUUAUGGGGUCGCCGUAAUUGGGGAAACCUGUGGCGAACUCCCUGGCGCUAUAUUAGCCGAAUCUCAUUAAAUCAUUUAAUCAAUGUGAUUGGUUAGAGUUGUCUGAGUGGCGCCGGCCCCACUUACAGUAGACGUACUGUAAGCCUUAAUAAAGCUAAGAGAAAGUUUGAUAUUAAGUAUUCCAAUUUAUUAACAUAAAAUUAAUAAUUAUAACAUGGACUAGACAGCAUAUAUAUUCCCUGAAAUCUACACAUGCAGGAAGUUUCAUAUUUAACUUACACAGGAAAUUUUUAUUUUUGCAUUUGCUGGUACGAAGAAAAAUAUAUUUAUUUCUAUUUAUUUAAAUCUCACGUAGAUUGAAAGCAUCUGAUUGGUCACGGUAGCUAGCGGUGCACCUCUCUAAUAUAAGCGUCCCGGCCAGCUGACUGAAACCGCAUGAUACACUCCUACUUUUUAAGACAUUACAAAAUCUACGCGCAAAAAUAUUUUUAUAGCAAUUGUCAAUAAAUUAUUUAAAAUUCGUUGUCUUUAUUUCUAUUCCAUAUAUUAUUUAAUCAGGUCUAUAUUGUAAUUUAAUAAAAAUACUAGCGCUAAAUACUAAAAUAGAUAUUACAAAUUUUCC
Molecule: non-coding RNA, 719 nt
Organism: Paramuricea clavata
Lineage: Eukaryota; Metazoa; Cnidaria; Anthozoa; Malacalcyonacea; Plexauridae
Source: the annotation of a GenBank genome assembly